UAGUUAAUGGUUUAUAUAUGUGUUGGCAAC
RNAcentral lists this non-coding RNA (30 nucleotides) under Rattus norvegicus (Norway rat). Lineage: Eukaryota; Metazoa; Chordata; Mammalia; Rodentia; Muridae. The record is from RNAcentral.